UGUGUGUCCAAGGGGAUCCCAUCAGCAGCCCAAAAGGGAGAUGCCAUUUGGAAAAGUCACAGGAUGAUGCCUUGCAGCUUUGACUUGUUUUGAGGACACCCAUAAUGUCCAUCAUUUUUCUCAGUGGCAAGAACUUAUGUGGAAAGUUGGAGGAAGAAGUUGAUCCCACAGUACAAGAAGUUUGGCACAUCCCCAUGGCCUUGAGAUGGUGUUUUCCCUGGAAUGUCUGAAGGCACCUAAAGCAAAGGGAACCCAGCACAUUUUCCAGCAUCCAGGAGGGAAGGCUCAGGAGAAAGGCAAACCACUGAUGAGCCAGUAACAGUAAAC
Catharus ustulatus (Swainson's thrush) is the source of this 327-nucleotide long non-coding RNA. RefSeq lists it as uncharacterized. Lineage: Eukaryota; Metazoa; Chordata; Aves; Passeriformes; Turdidae. The record is from RefSeq and is a predicted model, not a curated record. The transcript is spliced from 3 exons.